RNAcentral lists this transfer RNA (87 nucleotides) under Planctomycetes bacterium ADurb.Bin126. Its description in RNAcentral is "tRNA-Ser". It matches the Rfam family "tRNA". Rfam says of the family: Transfer RNA (tRNA) molecules are approximately 80 nucleotides in length. Lineage: Bacteria; Pseudomonadati; Planctomycetota. The record is from RNAcentral.
CGGAGAGGUGCCAGAGCGGCUGAAUGGGCCGGUCUCGAAAACCGGUGUACCUUCGGGUACCGCGGGUUCGAAUCCCGCCCUCUCCGU